RNAcentral lists this long non-coding RNA (288 nucleotides) under Lepisosteus oculatus (spotted gar). Its description in RNAcentral is "lncRNA (ENSLOCG00000021969.1)". The record is from RNAcentral. Lineage: Eukaryota; Metazoa; Chordata; Actinopteri; Semionotiformes; Lepisosteidae.
ACAGGUUAUAAGCCCUGUUCAGCCACUCUGCUGAAUCUCCCCCACAAUCCAGUCUGCAACACCAACAAGGCACCAAAGGCACACAUGAAAAACAAACAACAGGCAUUUACUGGAGCAAUCUGAGCACAACUGCACCAGCUUCCCACAGCCCUCCUGUCCGGAGCCCGGAGCCCCAGACUGCUGCUCAGGAACAACUGGGGUUCGGGGGGACCUUACUGGAGCUGAUCCUUCAAGGCACCGACAAAAUCACUCCAGAAUGAGCAGUGAAACACACACCAGGGCUGCGAG